AGGAUCAUUUGCACAUGUGUAGCCAACUGCAUGCUAAUGAUAUUGUGGGCAACUGUAAGCAUGUAUUGCAAUGGACUUGCACUUGCCCUGGGCAGCAUGAUUUGUUUUUCAAGCAUGUGUGCUGUAGCGUGUGAUGUGUUGUGUAAACUGUUUGCAUUUCUCUAGUUGCUGCAACACUUAUGUUUUGCAAGGAAUGUCUUAGCUCAAUAAAUGAUGAAGAAUGCAGCAACAUGCAAUAUGCAUUGCGAAUUGCAGAAUUCCGUGAGCUAACAGAUGUUUGAAUGUUACUUGUACCUUUGGGAUAUUCUUGAAGGUUUGCUUGGUUUAAUGCAAAGUAGCUUUCAUAUACAGUUAAUGCUGAUUAGCAUUGUUGUGAACAAUAAAGGUCAAUGUUUUGCAUUGAACCUGGAUGUCAUACAGUUGUUUACAACCUAAACAUGGUUUCGUGGGGCAGACCUGUUUCGUCAUUUGAUGGUUGAUAUUUGUAAAUGUGCACAACUGGGACAAGCUGAAGACUUGCAUAUGCUAAGCGUGAAGUGAAGCACAUAAACCUGCUGAAUUUAAGCAUAUAAGUAAGUGGGGAAAAUUAA
Molecule: ribosomal RNA, 590 nt
Filed under: Alexandrium tamarense
Lineage: Eukaryota; Dinophyceae; Gonyaulacales; Pyrocystaceae
Description: eukaryotic LSU rRNA
Rfam family: 5.8S ribosomal RNA (bases 179-333)
Source: RNAcentral